UUUCCGCUCAUUUCAAUUGACAAAAAUAAAUUUUCCAUUUAUGGUUUCGUUGCACAUUCUCCUCCCUUCAAUUUUCGUACGUUACGCACAUCAGUGGUGGAGUUACCAAAACUAGUACUAUCUGUACCAUUCAAUCACGUCUAUUUUAAUUGAGUUCUCCUUCAACCUAAUCUCCUUUAAUCGAAAUAGAAAAAGAAAAAUUAACAGCUCCACGAUUUCUGCAGGUCAAUCCCGGGAGAAGACGACUGAUGGGGUUUUUGAUUUGUUAGUUUUUCGGAAUUUUUUUUUAUUUGUUCGACAGGUUUUGCUAAUUUUUGGAUGUAUUGUUCCAGAUUUUGUUUGUAGAGGGCAUAUUGAGAAAAGCGAUAGCAUCCAUCUCAGAAAUUUUGUUAAGAGAUCCAAUAUGAAACACUUUUGAGUUCUUGAUUGCCACUUUUGAGUUCUUGAUAGCAUCCCAUUUAAUAGGUUCUUCAAAUGGAUUCCCAGAUUCGCACCAACCCUUUCAAAACUCUUGCGGUAAGCAUGAAGCGCCUACAAAACCUUUCAAUUACAAAUUUACAAAUGUGAAGAAGGCAAACCAAAUGUAAUCAGUGAAAUCCUCAUCUUAGAGGUACUGCUGGUCCCCAUCUAUGUAAUCAGUGAAAUCCUUAAUUAAUUUGCAUCAAUCAAAGCCUUCAUCUUAACCUAAACAAAAUCUCCAGCCAUCAAUCAAAAUCCCCUUGCACCCAUAUGGCCAUAUCUCAAAUCUUCCGUUCUUAACCAACAAUGGUGUUGGUUACUGAUAAAUCCCUUGCACCCAUCUCUCAAAUUUGCAGUUCUUAAUCAACAAUGGUGUCGGUUACUAAUAAAUUCCUUGCACCCAUCUCACACACAUUCAGUUCUUAACCAACAAUGGUGUUGGUUACUGAAUAAACUUCCAAUCUUCAUCUUCAGAUGUUAAUCGGCAAAAAGGCUGGUUCCUGAUGAUCGCUUUGUUGUGGUCAGGGAGAUUGGCGGCGGCUAGAUUGGUAACGAUGAUAUUGAUUAGGGUUUGUAUCUGUUCUCAUGGGCUCCCUGACUUAAUGGGCAUUUCCAAAUGUCAUUUGGUUAUCUCACAGUUUCAGUUAGUACUUUGUAAUGGGCUCUCUGAACUCUUUGAGGUUGUGUUGUAAAGCUCCUUAGUCUCUCAAUAAGUCCAUUGAGACUUGAGAGUUGUCUUGUCUUUGUUUUUCAUUAUUGGGUCCGGUUGUAAUCUAUUCUUAUUUCUCCAAUAUAAUCCUCCUUUCACGAUCAAAAAAAAAGAAAAAAGAAGGCAAACCAAAUCUCUCAAAAGUGGAACAAAUUAGACUUGCUGGGGCCUAAUGAUGUGACCAGCUUGGAUGUGUUCAUGAUCGAUAACAAUCUAUCGAGUCUGGCGCAGGGUGAUGAACUGCAUGGGGUUGUCCCAAAGAACCUAAUCUGGAAAUUCGAAGCUUUUAUAAGAAUUGGUCACGUGUAUUCCCUAAACAUAUUAACGAUUCUUGGCGAGAUUUCGCAUUGACUGCCUCUUCUUCAAGUGGGGUACAGAAAUGAAGCCACUCUGCGGCAUUUAUGUGGAAAUUACUCAUCACGGGAUCGACUUUAGCCAGUAUGAAGAUCUGGAAUCGCGGGAAACCAACACUUAUCUAACCGAUGUUAUGGAUGCAUUAAUCAGUUUUACAAAUUUUCAAGAAAUGAGAACGGCCGACGGUAACCUUGAAAGACUGGAUUUUAUUCUUCAGAACUUUAGAUAUGCAUAUAUAAAAUUGCAAGAACUGUAUUCCGUAUUCUUUGAUACCUGUACCAUUGUUUAUCCACCGGCAACAAUGUGAAGAUAACCUUAUGGGGUGAGUCAGCGAACGAGAUAAGCCGUAAUACAGAAACGCAUGGAAUAGAGGAAACACCUGUGGUUGUUUCGGUCUCAUCGUCCUAUGUAAGAAAAAUGUCAAGGUAAAUCAUUUAAAAUACUUUUUGUGUGCUCCAAUUAAAUUGCUUGAGUUUAACCAGUGUUGUUAUUCAUGUUACCCUAUUUCUGACCUGGGAAGUACUCUUUGUCCUUCGCGAAUGCCACUAAGGUAUUCUUCAGUCUUAACAUUCCUGAGGUUCAUGGAAAUGAAACACUUGCAAAGGGGACUAUGAGUAGACCUUAAAAAUUAGAAAAUUAGGAUUAAGAGUACUUAAGAAAAUCAGCUAUGGGUUACUUAAAAUACAGUUUUCAGAACUAUUAACAGAAUGUAAUAGCUUGAAAUCCGAAAGGUUGUGUUUUUUCCAUGAAGGACUUCGUAAUAGAUAAAUGUCGACGGCAACGGAUUUCUAGCUGGACCACAUCAUUGUCAUGUUCAACCUCCUUUUUGAUGACACAUGAUUAGAAAAUUAAUAUCAAGGUUCCUAUGAGUGAAUCAGAUAAUCCAAUGUUAUUAUGAGUGAAUCAUACUCUAUCGAAUUAUUGAUAAAGCGGUGAAACUCAAAUGUUGGGUGCCACCGGCUGGUACUAUUUGGGUUGCAACAAGUGCACGACUAAAGUGGUUGGUGAACUCGGGGACUAUGGAUGCACCAAAUCUCAAAACAAGGUUGAGGAACCUGUGCCAUGGUAUCUUCUUCUUUUUGAGGUUACAGACCAUACCAUCCGCACCAUAUUUACUGCACUAGAUAGUGAAAUUUAACGGAUUAUCCGCGCAACUGCCUCGGACGUAGUGAUGAUGGGGGAGGUACACAACCAUUCGUUUCUCUUUACUAAAUUAGGCAUCGUUAAGUGAGUCAAACAAUUCCGACUGUGGACCCUUUUAAGUUUCAAAGUACCCAUGUUUAAAUGGGCACUAAGAAGAAGGAAAAUCUUAGUACGUUGGUUGCAGUUUUUGGAGAGAUCCUGAAUGUUGAAAUGAACUAGCAAAUAGCAUUUAUGAGUAAUUGAAUAUUGACUUCGGGUGACUAUGAUGGUGUCAGUGUCAUCAAGAGUGAACUUCGGUGACUGCCGUGGUGUCAGCAAGCAUAUGAAUAACAUUGAUGGGUCGUUGCUCUUUGUUUUUGUUGUUUUCGUAGUAUUUUGUUUCAUCAGUUUAUGUUUGUAGGUUAGCAGUUGCAGUGUGGCUGUAAUCUUAAAGCUAUAAGUUGUUCUCUUAACUUGGAUGUUCAGAAUACUGUAUUCCUGUGUCUACAAGAUAUUCUCCUCACUCCUUUUAGCAUUUGGUCAACCCUAUAGGUCUUUACAGCACAUAUUUUGAGAUUUAAUAUACGCGAUUUUUUAAAUGA
Long non-coding RNA from Papaver somniferum (opium poppy), 3246 nucleotides. RefSeq lists it as uncharacterized. NCBI's taxonomy places the organism in Eukaryota, Viridiplantae, Streptophyta, Magnoliopsida, Ranunculales, Papaveraceae. The record is from RefSeq and is a predicted model, not a curated record. The transcript is spliced from 6 exons.